AUACUUACCCAGCAGGGGAGAUAUCAUGAUCACGAAGGUGGUUUUCCCAGGGCAAGGCUCACCCAUUGCACUCCGGGUGUGCUGACCCCUGCAAUUUCCCCAAGCGUGGGGAACUUGGCUGCGUAAUUUGUAGUAGGGAGGAGCUGCGUUCAUGCUUCCUCCU
Small nuclear RNA from Budorcas taxicolor (takin), 163 nucleotides. RefSeq annotates it as U1 spliceosomal RNA. The transcript has a single exon. NCBI's taxonomy places the organism in Eukaryota, Metazoa, Chordata, Mammalia, Artiodactyla, Bovidae. The record is from RefSeq and is a predicted model, not a curated record.